UUAACAGCAAUGAAGCAGAAGAGUAGUUAAUUAAUCAAUACUUAAGAGACUUGGUGGGGCUGCGAACCAAGGCAUAUUAAUUAACGAAUUACACUGGGGAGCUGAAAUUGGGUCAUCACAAUAUCGAUGAAUGAGCUGGCUAUUUUAUGGCAAUAUGGGUGGUAACGCGGAAUUAAUUAUUCGUCCCUAAU
RNAcentral lists this non-coding RNA (191 nucleotides) under Liquorilactobacillus capillatus. Its description in RNAcentral is "Lactobacillus capillatus T-box sequence". It matches the Rfam family "T-box leader". Rfam says of the family: Uncharged tRNA acts as the effector for transcription antitermination of genes in the T-box leader family. T-boxes are found upstream of many aminoacyl-tRNA synthetase genes and some amino acid biosynthetic genes usually in Gram-positive bacteria. Lineage: Bacteria; Bacillati; Bacillota; Bacilli; Lactobacillales; Lactobacillaceae. The record is from RNAcentral.